CAAGCAGACCGGCUUCAGCUGUGGGCGUGGCGGUACAGACAAGUUUGCUAGAAUUAAAAAAAUAUAUAUAUAUUUUUUUUUAUCCUUUAUUUAACCAGGCAAGUCAGUUAAGAACAAAUUCUUAUUUUCAAUGACGGCCUAGGAACAGUGGGUUAACUGCCUGUUCAGGGGCAGAACGACAGAUUUGUACCUUGUCAACUCGGGGGUUUGAACUUGCAACCUUCCGGUUACUAGUCCAACGUUCUAACCACUAGGCUACGCUGCCGCCCCAGGGUAGCCUAGUGGGGAACUGGGGAACUGCUGGCCAAUGGGGUGGAACUUUGGCUUGGAACCGUGACGCUUAAACCAGAGUAAUUGACCCAUGUGCUGUAUUGACAUAAAAUGAAGAGGUCUGGUUCAUGACACAUGAGUUAAGGUUAGACGGACAACCUGGCAGGGUUGGUCAAUAACAUCACCUAUUCUAUGGAAACAUACAGACAAUCACAUUGGAUAAUGUUUCCUCCACAUAAGAAACACCUAACAGAAAGUCUUAGUUUCUCAGUAACUGUCUGAAUGGAGGAGUAGGUAAAGACAUGACAGAUUAUAGACUGUCUGAAUGGAGGAGUAGGUAAAAACAUGACAGAUUAUAGACUGUCUGAAUGGAGGAGUAGGUAAAGACAUGACAGAUUAUAGACUGUCUGAAUGGAGGAGUAGGUAAAGACAUGACAGAUUAUAGACUGUCUUGGUUUGUCAGUAACUGUCUGAAUGGAGGAGUAGGUAAAAACAUG
Molecule: long non-coding RNA, 767 nt
Organism: Oncorhynchus tshawytscha (Chinook salmon)
Lineage: Eukaryota; Metazoa; Chordata; Actinopteri; Salmoniformes; Salmonidae
Source: Ensembl